RNAcentral lists this long non-coding RNA (474 nucleotides) under Ananas comosus (pineapple). RNAcentral's name for it is "long non-coding RNA (ACOM_LNC031966)". Lineage: Eukaryota; Viridiplantae; Streptophyta; Magnoliopsida; Poales; Bromeliaceae. The record is from RNAcentral.
UAAAUUAAUUAUAAUAUAAAUAAAAAGUAAUUAUGAAUAUGAGUUGGAGUGCUUUAUUUUAAUUUUUUAAAAAAUAAAUUUUAAAUGUCAUUCCUGUUGUUUCGCACUUUCUCGCUUUAGUAUACUAUACUUUAAAGUAUAUCAAUUUAACACAUUGUGAUUUUAUUUUCUCUUUUUCUCAGCUUCUCCGUUAACAUUUAGUUAAAUUAUAUAAAAAAAUUUCAAACACACCGUCUAAAUCUAUCGAAUAUUUAUUUUAGUAUUUUUUUUAAUUUUAACUUUGUCACUGAUUGAACGAAAAAAAUUAAUGAAGAGGAUAAUAAAAAGAGAAAAAUAAAACCACAGGGUACUAAAUUGAUACAUUUUAAAUUCUAUGGUACUAAAAUUAAAAAAUAUGAAAUCAUGGUGGUCUUUAAAGUUUUUUUUUUAUAUUUAGGCGUGAGAAUAUUUAUAUUAAAAAAUGGAAUUUAAAAA